This 497-nucleotide ribosomal RNA is filed under the name uncultured bacterium. Its description in RNAcentral is "partial 16S ribosomal RNA". It matches the Rfam family "Bacterial small subunit ribosomal RNA", at positions 28 to 507 of the family's 1533-position model. The record is from RNAcentral.
GAUGAACGCUGGCGGCGUGCCUAAUACAUGCAAGUCGAGCGAACAGACGAGGAGCUUGCUCCUCUGACGUUAGCGGCGGACGGGUGAGUAACACGUGGAUAACCUACCUAUAAGACUGGGAUAACUUCGGGAAACCGGAGCUAAUACCGGAUAAUAUAUUGAACCGCAUGGUUCAAUAGUGAAAGACGGUUUUGCUGUCACUUAUAGAUGGAUCCGCGCCGCAUUAGCUAGUUGGUAAGGUAACGGCUUACCAAGGCAACGAUGCGUAGCCGACCUGAGAGGGUGAUCGGCCACACUGGAACUGAGACACGGUCCAGAAUCCUACGGGAGGCAGCAGUAGGGAAUCUUCCGCAAUGGGCGAAAGCUUGACGGAGCAACGCCGCGUGAGUGAUGAAGGUCUUCGGAUCGUAAAACUCUGUUAUUAGGGAAGAACAAAUGUGUAAGUAACUAUGCACGUCUUGACGGUACCUAAUCAGAAAGCCACGGCUAACUACGUG